This 249-nucleotide ribosomal RNA is filed under the name uncultured soil bacterium. RNAcentral describes it as "partial 16S ribosomal RNA". It matches the Rfam family "Bacterial small subunit ribosomal RNA", at positions 26 to 284 of the family's 1533-position model. The record is from RNAcentral.
AGGACGAACGCUGGCGGCGUGCUUAACACAUGCAAGUCAAGGGGGCCCAGCAAUGGGCAACCGGCGAACGGGUGCGUAACACGUGAGCAACCUACCGAAAUGUGGGGGAUAGCCGGCCUAACGGCCGAGUAAUACCGCAUACGCUCUCGAUGAGGCAUUUCAUUGAGAGGAAACCUACGGGACAUUUCGAGGGGCUCGCGGCCUAUCAGCUAGUUGGAGAGGUAACGGCUCACCAAGGCAACGACGGGU